GCGCCCCCCGGCGGCGCGGCAGGGGCUGCCGCUGCGGGUGGGGCCGCUCUGUGUCCCGUCCCGGAGCCCCGCGGAUGCCUCAACCCACCCGCACCUCAGUAGUAUUUUUCCUCGUGCCCAUGGCCGGCCGAGGCCUUCUCGCAGCGCACGUGUUCCUGCUGGCGGGGUGGGGCUGGGCCCGGUGUCGGCUGAGCUCCGGGAGGGCAGUGAACGGCUGCAGCGCCGCUCAGUGCUGCCCAACGCUCCCAGGCGGUGGAUGCCGGCCGGAUCCGUGGCCGCUUUGUUUCAUCGCCUUCGCGGUUCGGGUGGUUCGCACAAGCUGCUUAAGCUGAGAGCUGACACCAGUGGUUGCAGAGCAGUCCGCAGCUUUGAGAUAAGCCGAUGUGAAUCGGGAUUAUCUCAGCUAGCCCACAUUUUCAAGCAGUGCACAUCGGGCCAACCAAACCGUCACCUCUGUCACCACGUUGUUCCAUAUGUCUUUUCUACUGCAUUCCUAACGAGUUCUGCAUGGUUUGGGGUAAUGGAGCAGCUGCAGGGCACAGCGCCUCCCAGAGGAGGUGGUUCUGCAGCUUGGGUCCCUUCAGUGCUGUUUUUGUGGGUUGGUCAAAGCUCCCAGAGAUAAACGCUGAGUUUAAUCAGCCUUCAAACACAGACUUCUUUCCUUUGUCUCCCGAUUUUGGCCAAUAGGAUAUGUUUUCUCUGAGUGAUUGUUCAGGCUGGAAAAGAGUAUGCUUAGGGGGACCUCACUGCUCCCUGCAGCUCUGAUGUGGUCGUGGUGAGGUGUGGUUGGCCUCUUCUCCCAGCUGACAGCAAUGGGACAGAGAGGGGAUGGCCUCAAGUGUGCUGGGGGGGGGGUGUUCAGGCUGGUUGUUGGGAAGAGCUUCUAAAAAGAGUGAUAAAGCUCUGGAAUGGGGGCUGCCGAGGUGGUGGAGUCACUGUCCUUGGAGGUGCUCAAGAAGAAGUAGGUGUGGUGCUGAGGGACGUGGUUAGUGGGCGUGGUGGGGAUGGGCUGACCGUUGCAUUGGAUCAUCUUGGUGGUCUUUUCCAAUCUCGGUGAUUCUAUGGUAGGCAUACCUUAAAAAGUGCACGCAUAAAGAAGCCUUCGGUCUUUGUUAACAGGCUUUUCUAUUCUUUUGAGAAAUGUUGUAAAUCACGAAGCUCUUCUGACUUCUUGACAACAGUAAGAGUUUAGGAUGUGGAUGGUGAAGUCCUUCUGCAUGUGGUGUCCCAACGGGCUUCGCCAGUAAUUAUUUUUAUCACAGAUGUGAGAAGGGAACACGGGGCCGUGUUUUCAGUGACCAGAGUGGCGAAUGGCUGACUGGGAGCCUGCUGGGCACGGCAGCUGCUUGGCCUGCAGAGCAAACUAAGGAGCAGUGCUUCCAAAGCCAAAAGUUAAACCCAAAUGCAGUUUUCAUCCUUGUCCGGGUCAAACUUUGUGGUAUAAAUUUUGCCAGCUGUUAAUUUACGUUUUUAAUUUUCACAUUCAGGUGUUAUUAGAUUCAUUUUCGCAUGAGUACAGAAGCAGCAGCAGCACUUGGUCGGGUGAGAAACUUCCCUCUGGUCUCGGCCGGGCAUCUUUCAUAGCUCCUGCACUUCCACUGCCGGUCACGAGAUGGGGUCAGCACACCCCGGAUCGACGAUUGUUGCUCUGAAACGCGCAGCAGUGACAGCUAUCUCCUAUCUCAGCGCUUAUUUUGCCCAGGCUCUGAGAUGGUUCUUCUUGGCACACAGACAACAGUUACACCCAUAAUUGGAAAGGCACAUUGGCUUAGAAAAGAGAAUGAUUCCACCAUCAGUGUGGAAUCAUUCACCAACUGCUGAAGUGACGGUUUUGUCUUCAGAAAGUGAGUUGUUCUAUUACUUUCUGAUAACCUUUACUCUUAGUUCUUCUGAAACUGAUUGGGGAACAUUGAAAGGAUGUGACUUGAGAUGUCCUAUUCCAGGAAGAGUCUUUGAUUUUGUGAAACAGCCCCAAAUAGUUCUGCUCACCUUACUCUGUUUUCAAGGCCAAAUGGCAAAUGGAGAGUUUUCAAUGCUAGCAUUUGCUUUAGUGCUGCAGUAUGGAUGAAGCUGUGUUUUCAGAAUGGCUGUAUGUCCGUGGGCCUUGGCAGCACCUCCUGGCAAGCAGUGCACAGAGACUCCCUCAUAUUAAUGCUUUCGAAGUGUUGUUUAAAUUAAAUGUUGUGCUUUCAUGGGUCUCGAUGUGAAGCCUUUUCUUCUCCUUGAGUUUUUUGUCCUCCUGUAGAAGUCGUACAGAAUGUACAUGCUGUUCUGGGAGGGUUUCCAUUUGAUGGGAAAGCUGCUCACGCUCUUCAGCUUCAUUUGAGGCUUCUUGCACUUCUUCCAGUUCGGUAGAGAAGUCAUUGUGUAACUUUGAGAGCAUUUCAGCUGUUCAGUGCAGAAUGCCCAUCAGCAAACUAACUCCAACCACGUCAAUCAUUACCAGAAUAUCUGCAACAACAGCUGCUAGUUUUUCAAACAGCUUUUUCCUUUCCUGUGUGAAAGAAAUUGAUAUAAAAUUACGUGAUCAGUCAUCACCAUCUCUUUCAGUAGCAUUCAGAAUUGUUCCAUGCCAAAUGAAAUAUAAAUAAUUGUGCCUGCCAACACUGCCCCGAGCUGUUGGAGCUCAAGGAGUGUUUGGAGAACGCCUUCAGAUGUAGGGUUUGGUUUUUAGUGGUUCUGUGUGGAGCCAGGAGCUGGGCACGAUGAUCCUCAUGGUCCCUGCCAACUCAGGGUGUUCUAUGUUUGACCCCAAGAACUAUUCAAACUCAAAGUACCUAUGGAUGAAGAUCAAAGGGUACUGAGGUGCUGCCUUUUCCACCGGCUCUGAAGUCCCUCCUUACAAGCAUGCUUACCUCGUAAAGACAUUGGUCACAGGGUAUUCUACAGGGAUAUUUGUACUUUGAACACUUUACUACAAGUGUUUGGGAUAGAUGUAUUGCUUGUCCUUUGUGGAAAACAGCAGUUGGAAUUUGGAAGUGUGCACUGAGUAAUAUAUCUUAAUGUGUUUCUGGGUGGUGAGCCGGGGCAGCGCAACUGAUGCACCUUGGGGCACAGCAGCAUCUCCCUAAAGGCCUCCGUGCUGGUCUGUGACUGCAUCAGGCAGCCCCUCUCUGCUGGCAGCCUGGCGUUCUUGAACCAGCUCAGAUCUCUGUAGUAACAGCUCCAUGGCAGCAGCAGCUUCCUCUGACAGCUUAAUUGGGUCUUCUGCAUCUCUGAUCUCACCAGGCCCCUGUGCAAAUCGCUGUGUUACACCAGAACGUCCCCUUUUGUUGGAACACCUUGGGCUUGAUUUGGGUACUUCCUUGGGUGUUUAACACUCAGAUAUUGAAGCUGCCCAGCAUCUGUAGCUCUGAUUAGAAGAGCUUUACAUCUCAAUGCAAGACAAGUUCCUUGAGGUGGUAAAUUAUUUUAUUACCUGCUUUUUUUUUCCCUUUAGAAUAGUCUUUUGCUUUUGUUCAGUCAUUUGAAUUCACAUUAUCAUUGCUGAAAGCUUCUCCAGAAAGUCAGCCCACACCUUGCUAGCACUGUUUCUUAUGUUAUCACUAACUGCUUUGAAGUGUUUUUUUAGGGAACAGGAUCACUCACCACAUUGAAAGCAGGGAAUGGCAUCUGUCUGAGGAACAUUCCAGUAACAAGGUUCUGGGGAUCUACUGCCAGGUACUGAAAUAUAUGAAACAUUUCUGUGUUCAGUGCAGCCAGAAGGCCUCAGCCCCGCAGUUAAGGAGAGCUACUUUUCCUCAGUCUUUCUGAUUUAAGACCUUUCCCAGAGAAAGAGAAAGGAAUAAGUGGUGAGGCACUACUCCAGCCAUUGAAGGCAAAAUGCCUGCUUGAGUGUUCAGUCUGAUUGCAGACCAGUCAGGAUUGUCUGGUCACUAUGUAGAAGAUAAUCUGUAAUCCCCAUUUCCCAACAGCAGCCUGUUGCUGCUCUCACCUGGAGUCCUUCUCCUCUUGCCAUGAUCUGUGUCCUGCAGCUCACAUCAGGCGGUGCAGACUGGCGCCAGGUGCUCUGAGGUGUGCUCUGGAACAGGUAGGAUGUGCAGGUGUAAAAAUAGGCCUGUGAGGGGAAGUAUCAAUGGGAGUGCGUGGAACCCUUGUGUGGGAAGUGCAGUGUUAUUACAGCGCUCAGUGAUAGCGCCAACACUGAAUGCUUGCCUUUUUUUUUUUCUGCUUUAAGUUAUUGUGGAGGAUAUUUGCUUUAAAUUUUCUGUGCUCUGAAUUAGUAUCUUGGCAUAGAGUAAGUUCGUUUUCUGUUGGUAGAGCCCUUUCCUUGGUGUCAAGUGGGGCUGCAAUGCAACCAGGAUUCAAGGAAGAGUUCUGUCUGCUUAGGCCGUGGGGACAGGACCCGGGCUCCGUCCUCACCGUGGCUGUGAUUUGCUGUGGUGGUUGAGCAGGCACUGCGUGCUAACUGGCCUCAGCUUAUCCUUCUUUAGAGUAAACGUGGUAUCGUGCCAAAAAGCAAGGCUACGCUUAUCAAAACAUGCCUUAUCAAAUAUUUAUUAAUCUGCUACUCUGUCAUAUGUGGUAACUCCAAAACAAAUCGACUGCACGGUCCUCUGUGGAAAACAGCUGUGCAAAGUAGGCAGGGAGUGCCACUGUCCCUCUUACACCACAUCACUAAGAAAGGAAUUCUUCAUUUUAACCUCUGCUACUUACUUCUUUAGUGAGACUGCGCCAUGCACUGUGUUCCUCAGAGAGCUGCUGUCUGUCACUGCCCAUUGCUUUGCUUCUGCUCUGCAUUCUGCUGCAGGAGGGUGAGAAGCUGGAACAGCAGUACAUCUAAAUGUAUUCUUUCUUGAUGGGCUUUUAUUGAUCUUCCAGCAACCCGAAAGCAAAAGAAUGAAGCAAAUAUUGCACCCUGAAGACACCAGUGGUCAGAGAAUUAAGAUCACUUUCCCUUCUCAAAAUGCUUUAUAAAGUAGCAAGAUGUGUGUGUGAAUUAUUUACACUUCAAAAUGCAUAGAAUCCUACAGGAGAAGUCUUCAUUAGCAGCUGCGCACGAUUGACAUGCUGACAGAUCCAGGCCUAGAAUAAGUAGAUUUUGAUCCAAGAGCCACAGGAAAAUCUCAGCUCAUUGUUUCUGUGCGGGUGGAGAGGGAAGGACUGAAGCAUUUGACUCAGAGCAGUGCUCUGUUCUCAGGAGACAACUGGAGCCAAGGAAGAGAAGUGGCAAGAGGACUCCUCUGGCGACAUUUUGGUAGUCACCGUAACUUGGACAAGCCAGGAGAGAGCUGGCUGGGGGACCUGAAGCAGGAGAAGAUCAAGGAGAAGAGUCCUGAUGUUAUGGAGGAAAAGUUGCAUCCAGCUCCUCAGGGCUCAGCGACGAUAUUGCCACCAUCACCCGGUGCGUCGAUGAUGAGAGAACCUCUACAACUGAGCUCCGGCGCCUCUGGAUGAUGCGAAGAAGGGGAUCGGAGGAAGAAUGCCUCCGACCCUGGAAAAAGUUGCUAAAAAUACUCACUGCUGAGCGCCGCCGGGGUGAGCCCUGCAUGAUGACCAGCACCAGUGACAGCCCAGCGCGGCUGCCGAGCAGGCACGGAUCUGAAAGGCAAGUUGCUCAGCGCUGAAGUUGCAGCGAGAUGCGCAUCGCUCCGUCUGCUGGAGCAGCUAGUCAGCAUGGGCUGAGCUGUCUCCAUAGUGACAAACAAUGAGGGCUCUGCUGCCAGCCAGCCCCGUGGCAGUGACAUUCUAUAUGAAUUGCUUCUGUUUGGGACAAAAUGUUCCGCUGCUGAUGAAAAUAGUUGCGUUUCAAGUAGAUAAUUGUGAAAAUGGACCGGGAACAACCAAAACAUUUUUCCACAAACAAUAUGAGUAUUUUAGUUAGUUGUAAAUAACAUACAUUCAGAACUCACUCAGGCACAAAACAGUAUAUUCAAGAGAACAAUCAAAAUGUAUUUGGAGGCUCUGCUUCCUGAGAAAUCUGUAAGUACAUUAUACACCCCCACCUCCUGGUUUUACAUUCCACAACCACCUCUCUCCCUCCGCUGAGCUGCUGCAAAAUGCAUCAUUAGCUCUGUAAUAAUUGGGAUUAGUGUGCUCCUACUGAAAUGGCUCAGUACACCAUGAAUUGUAGCCUGUUCACUCUGGACCAUUCAUAUCUUCUAACAAACACAAUUUGUUACUCAAAACAAAAGGCUUAUUUUUUUUCAGGGCACAGCUCUUUUAUUAACCAGAGCUGUUAGCCCUACAGAGUGAGAUAAAGCAGAUUAUGGGGAGGAGAAGAUGCAUCAGUUGAGUGCUUUAGGCUUUUGAAGGUAGAUAUUAGGUGGCAAAUUGCCUCCCACUUUGCUGCCAGUGUGCUAAGAUAGAGAAUGAGCUGGCCAGAAAGAUUACUGCGUUCUCAAAAGCACAACAUUCUCAAGCAACUUAUGUGGAGAAUGGAUCACAGAAAUGUGGUGGUUUUUUUUUUUUUUUUUUUUUUUUUAAGUUAUCCAAUUGUCUGAGUGUUAAAGGAGAGAGAGCAGGGAGAUGAGGAAAACUCACCAUAGUUUUGGUCAAUUAACAAAAUCCCACUGCCUUUUGCUAAGGAUGCAUACUUCAUUCAGUCUGAUUUUUCCUUUUGUGUUAUGGAAACAGUAAUCCUUAAAGAGGAGUAGUGUAUGAGAAAGCUCUUUUUUGAUACAAAAUCACAAGGCAAAAAUCUGCUGUUUCUUCCAGGUACUGAACAGGGACUUAGUGACUGAAUUUUGAACACUGCAGCCCCACUCUUAAGACACGGUAAGGACUUCUGUAGAAACCAGGCACCUGGAAACAUCUGUGGUGAUGUUGUAUGUGAAAAGGAGAACGUUAAAGCUGUUAGCUGUUGUCUCAAAGAUCUGACUAUCCUAACGAAGCCAAUAUAAGAAGACGGGGAAAUACUUAAAUAUGCUUUUAUUUUGGAUGUUAGGUUGAAGAGAAGGGAAGGAGAUGAAAAAUGCUCUUCAAGUGCUGCCUAUGUCCAGCAAACAAACAAACAAAAACUCCUUUUGAGUUAAUUACAUUGCUUUCUCAUAUUUAAUUCUUAACUCUUUUUCUUCCCAGAGUUUUUUCUUCUGUAUAUAUCAAGUGAUAGUGGAGCCAGAGAUCAGCAAGCAAAAAUGCUGCACACCAUUAUUUUUCCACUGAAUCUAGCAUGAUUUACAAGUACUCACCCAGAAACUUUCAAUAUUUUCUUGGAGAGGGUUUUUUUGUUGAAGGUUUGUUUGUGCCUUCAGAGAGUUAGGCAGCUUCUGAACAUGGAAAUGAUGCCAUUCCUUUAAGUAAGAGACUUAGCAACUUGAAAGUCACUGAAAAGUUCAGCAUCAUAACACAUCAUGGCAAUGAGAAGUCACACAGUUUGUUUUUAUUAUAGCCAUUUUGUGCUUAUAAUUUGGGAAUAACGUCCGUUUUUCCCCUAUGGAAAAUUGCUUCUUUUUCUGAAUUUAUGUAAGCUGUUUAUAUGAAUGGCAUAAGUGAGAAAAUCGUUACCUGAACUCAUAUUUGCAAGAUACACACUGCUCUCUAGCAACGAAGAGUAUGGUAGUUCAUUUUGCAGCAAAACUCCUGCAGCCAUUGCAGUACCUGUGGAAACAGUAAUAUGUUUGCUGUCAAUCCACAAGCUCGAAAAUGCAAAAUAAAGCUGAAUUAAAGCUCAGUACCUAUCACCCAGUUACAGAGUCAUGCAAGGGUUAAGAUCUGGGCAUUCAGGCACAGACCGUUACAUUCUUUUUGGUGUGCAAUCUUAAAAUUCGCCAGUUCCGCCAUCUGUCCUACCAAUUAGAAGUCAUUUGUGUAUUUCCAGCUCCAGCGUCUGGCUGAUGAUGUACCUUACAGCUGUGUUUUAUAUGCCCAGGAGCCACUCACCUAGAAGCCUUUAAAGCCAUCUCGAUGUUCUCAAAUUCUUCAAAGUAAACAUACAACUAUAAAUCCUGAACUGGAACCUUCCAAGGGGCAGUUCCAGCAAAGCCAAUGAUAUAAGAAUGGCAACACUAUUUCUGGACCAUACCAUUCAUAAUUUUAGUUGAUACUUCCAAACUAUGUGUAAGGUACAUGCCUUCUCUGCUCUCUACCCUCCACUCUGUUUUAGUAAACUGGCAAGUUUGAAAUCACAUGUAUGAAGAUUCUCCUUCAAUAAGAAAACAGAACACAAGACUGCCUAAGCAAAAAGCAUGUUUUCUUAUAAUACAAAGCAAGCUGAAGAGACUGUAUCUGAAAAACAGAUAAUACAAGGAAAGCUGUCAGUGUGAACUUAUAAGUCAGUCACUGUGAUGUUUAAGUAAAACAACUUCAUGGAUCCUGAGUGCACAUCCUUACUUCUCUUAUCUCAAUAGUAAAAUAGUUGCAAAUAUAGUACUAAAAAAAGCAUGUCCGUACUGUAACUAUUGAAACUCUUUUAAAGAAACGUUCUGUCCCAAAUUCUGCAGAAACAAUACUAAGAUUCAGUGUCACAGUGUUCUCAGAGACAGGUUUACUGCAGUAAUAAUAGUGAGGAUUAUUACGCGGUAAACAGUCCAGUACUGUGUUGAGGGAUUAACUGCUUGUCAUUCAUUGUGCAUCACUUUAGCUAUAAUUCUGAGUAAUUGCUUUAGGUAAAUAAUUGAAUCAAUUCACAUGAAAUUUCAUUUAUAGAUAUUAUAUUAUCUAACACAUACUUGAAUUGAAACUAUUCUUUCUAUAAACAGUGUUCAUGGACUUUAUUCCACAUCAGUGUCACCUGGUACAGUCCCAUCCCUUACAGAUGCUUAUGGUGGGAACAGCAUACACAUACACACGAGUAACCCCUUAAUACUUACUGCAUGAGUGGCCUCAAAGAGAUGAGAAUUGCAUUUGUCUGUCAAAGCCAAGGGGUCUUUUGAAAGUUCAGUGAUGCUAAGCAAUACAUUCCUUAUGUAAAUAUGUAUAUUAUGAAGAAUGUUCAUUAAGAUGAGUCUUAAUGUAGAAUAAAGACAAACAUUUUCUA
Long non-coding RNA from Gallus gallus (chicken), 8917 nucleotides. RefSeq lists it as uncharacterized. The record is from RefSeq and is a predicted model, not a curated record. NCBI's taxonomy places the organism in Eukaryota, Metazoa, Chordata, Aves, Galliformes, Phasianidae. The transcript is spliced from 3 exons.